RNAcentral lists this ribosomal RNA (2815 nucleotides) under Staphylococcus aureus. RNAcentral's name for it is "bacterial LSU rRNA". It matches the Rfam family "Bacterial large subunit ribosomal RNA". Lineage: Bacteria; Bacillati; Bacillota; Bacilli; Caryophanales; Staphylococcaceae. The record is from RNAcentral.
AGGGCGCACGGUGGAUGCCUUGGCACUAGAAGCCGAUGAAGGACGUUACUAACGACGAUAUGCUUUGGGGAGCUGUAAGUAAGCUUUGAUCCAGAGAUUUCCGAAUGGGGAAACCCAGCAUGAGUUAUGUCAUGUUAUCGAUAUGUGAAUACAUAGCAUAUCAGAAGGCACACCCGGAGAACUGAAACAUCUUAGUACCCGGAGGAAGAGAAAGAAAAUUCGAUUCCCUUAGUAGCGGCGAGCGAAACGGGAAGAGCCCAAACCAACAAGCUUGCUUGUUGGGGUUGUAGGACACUCUAUACGGAGUUACAAAGGACGACAUUAGACGAAUCAUCUGGAAAGAUGAAUCAAAGAAGGUAAUAAUCCUGUAGUCGAAAAUGUUGUCUCUCUUGAGUGGAUCCUGAGUACGACGGAGCACGUGAAAUUCCGUCGGAAUCUGGGAGGACCAUCUCCUAAGGCUAAAUACUCUCUAGUGACCGAUAGCGAACCAGUACCGUGAGGGAAAGGUGAAAAGCACCCCGGAAGGGGAGUGAAAUAGAACCUGAAACCGUGUGCUUACAAGUAGUCAGAGCCCGUUAAUGGGUGAUGGCGUGCCUUUUGUAGAAUGAACCGGCGAGUUACGAUUUGAUGCAAGGUUAAGCAGUAAAUGUGGAGCCGUAGCGAAAGCGAGUCUGAAUAGGGCGUUUAGUAUUUGGUCGUAGACCCGAAACCAGGUGAUCUACCCUUGGUCAGGUUGAAGUUCAGGUAACACUGAAUGGAGGACCGAACCGACUUACGUUGAAAAGUGAGCGGAUGAACUGAGGGUAGCGGAGAAAUUCCAAUCGAACCUGGAGAUAGCUGGUUCUCUCCGAAAUAGCUUUAGGGCUAGCCUCAAGUGAUGAUUAUUGGAGGUAGAGCACUGUUUGGACGAGGGGCCCCUCUCGGGUUACCGAAUUCAGACAAACUCCGAAUGCCAAUUAAUUUAACUUGGGAGUCAGAACAUGGGUGAUAAGGUCCGUGUUCGAAAGGGAAACAGCCCAGACCACCAGCUAAGGUCCCAAAAUAUAUGUUAAGUGGAAAAGGAUGUGGCGUUGCCCAGACAACUAGGAUGUUGGCUUAGAAGCAGCCAUCAUUUAAAGAGUGCGUAAUAGCUCACUAGUCGAGUGACACUGCGCCGAAAAUGUACCGGGGCUAAACAUAUUACCGAAGCUGUGGAUUGUCCUUUGGACAAUGGUAGGAGAGCGUUCUAAGGGCGUUGAAGCAUGAUCGUAAGGACAUGUGGAGCGCUUAGAAGUGAGAAUGCCGGUGUGAGUAGCGAAAGACGGGUGAGAAUCCCGUCCACCGAUUGACUAAGGUUUCCAGAGGAAGGCUCGUCCGCUCUGGGUUAGUCGGGUCCUAAGCUGAGGCCGACAGGCGUAGGCGAUGGAUAACAGGUUGAUAUUCCUGUACCACCUAUAAUCGUUUUAAUCGAUGGGGGGACGCAGUAGGAUAGGCGAAGCGUGCGAUUGGAUUGCACGUCUAAGCAGUAAGGCUGAGUAUUAGGCAAAUCCGGUACUCAUUAAGGCUGAGCUGUGAUGGGGAGAAGACAUUGUGUCUUCGAGUCGUUGAUUUCACACUGCCGAGAAAAGCCUCUAGAUAGAAAAUAGGUGCCCGUACCGCAAACCGACACAGGUAGUCAAGAUGAGAAUUCUAAGGUGAGCGAGCGAACUCUCGUUAAGGAACUCGGCAAAAUGACCCCGUAACUUCGGGAGAAGGGGUGCUCUUUAGGGUUAACGCCCAGAAGAGCCGCAGUGAAUAGGCCCAAGCGACUGUUUAUCAAAAACACAGGUCUCUGCUAAACCGUAAGGUGAUGUAUAGGGGCUGACGCCUGCCCGGUGCUGGAAGGUUAAGAGGAGUGGUUAGCUUCUGCGAAGCUACGAAUCGAAGCCCCAGUAAACGGCGGCCGUAACUAUAACGGUCCUAAGGUAGCGAAAUUCCUUGUCGGGUAAGUUCCGACCCGCACGAAAGGCGUAACGAUUUGGGCACUGUCUCAACGAGAGACUCGGUGAAAUCAUAGUACCUGUGAAGAUGCAGGUUACCCGCGACAGGACGGAAAGACCCCGUGGAGCUUUACUGUAGCCUGAUAUUGAAAUUCGGCACAGCUUGUACAGGAUAGGUAGGAGCCUUUGAAACGUGAGCGCUAGCUUACGUGGAGGCGCUGGUGGGAUACUACCCUAGCUGUGUUGGCUUUCUAACCCGCACCACUUAUCGUGGUGGGAGACAGUGUCAGGCGGGCAGUUUGACUGGGGCGGUCGCCUCCUAAAAGGUAACGGAGGCGCUCAAAGGUUCCCUCAGAAUGGUUGGAAAUCAUUCAUAGAGUGUAAAGGCAUAAGGGAGCUUGACUGCGAGACCUACAAGUCGAGCAGGGUCGAAAGACGGACUUAGUGAUCCGGUGGUUCCGCAUGGAAGGGCCAUCGCUCAACGGAUAAAAGCUACCCCGGGGAUAACAGGCUUAUCUCCCCCAAGAGUUCACAUCGACGGGGAGGUUUGGCACCUCGAUGUCGGCUCAUCGCAUCCUGGGGCUGUAGUCGGUCCCAAGGGUUGGGCUGUUCGCCCAUUAAAGCGGUACGCGAGCUGGGUUCAGAACGUCGUGAGACAGUUCGGUCCCUAUCCGUCGUGGGCGUAGGAAAUUUGAGAGGAGCUGUCCUUAGUACGAGAGGACCGGGAUGGACAUACCUCUGGUGUACCAGUUGUCGUGCCAACGGCAUAGCUGGGUAGCUAUGUGUGGACGGGAUAAGUGCUGAAAGCAUCUAAGCAUGAAGCCCCCCUCAAGAUGAGAUUUCCCAACUUCGGUUAU